CUACGGGCUGCACCAGUGAGGAAUAUUGCACAAUGGGGGAAACCCUGAUGCAGCAACGCCGCGUGGAGGAUGACGCAUUUCGGUGUGUAAACUCCUUUUAUCAGAGAAGAAAAUGACGGUAUCUGAUGAAUAAGCUCCGGCUAACUCCGUGCCAGCAGCCGCGGUAAUACGGAGGGAGCAAGCGUUAUUCGGAAUCACUGGGCGUAAGGGACGCGUAGGCGGGUUUGUAAGUCAGGUGUGAAAUCCUAUGGCUCAACCAUAGAACUGCACUUGAAACUGGGGACCUAGAGUAUGAAAGGGGCAGGUGGAAUUAGUGGUGUAGGGGUAAAAUCCGUAGAUAUCACUAGGAAUACCGAAAGCGAAGGCGACCUGCUGGGACAUUACUGACGCUGAGGCGUGAAAGCGUGGGGAGCAAACAGGAUUAGAUACCCCAGUAGUC
This 439-nucleotide ribosomal RNA is filed under the name uncultured bacterium. Its description in RNAcentral is "partial 16S ribosomal RNA". It matches the Rfam family "Bacterial small subunit ribosomal RNA", at positions 339 to 795 of the family's 1533-position model. The record is from RNAcentral.